This 524-nucleotide ribosomal RNA is filed under the name uncultured Diversispora. RNAcentral's name for it is "SSU rRNA". It matches the Rfam family "Eukaryotic small subunit ribosomal RNA", at positions 569 to 1092 of the family's 1831-position model. The record is from RNAcentral. Lineage: Eukaryota; Fungi; Glomeromycota; Glomeromycetes; Diversisporales; Diversisporaceae.
AGCAGCCGCGGUAAUUCCAGCUCCAAUAGCGUAUAUUAAAGUUGUUGCAGUUAAAAAGCUCGUAGUUGAACUUCGGGGUUCACCCAUUGGUCAGGCUUAAUUGUCUGUACUGGUGAGAUGAGUCUCUACCUUCUGAGGAACUUUCAUGCCAUUUGUUUGGUGUGAUUGGAAAUCAGGACUGUUACUUUGAAAAAAUUAGAGUGUUUAAAGCAGGCUAACGUCUGAAUACAUUAGCAUGGAAUAAUGAAAUAGGACGGAUUGAUUCUAUUUCGUUGGUUUCUAGGGUCACCGUAAUGAUUAAUAGGGAUAGUUGGGGGCAUUAGUAUUCAAUUGUCAGAGGUGAAAUUCUUGGAUUUAUUGAAGACUAACUACUGCGAAAGCAUUUGCCAAGGAUGUUUUCAUUAAUCAAGAACGAAAGUUAGGGGAUCGAAGACGAUCAGAUACCGUCGUAGUCUUAACCAUAAACUAUGCCGACUAGGGAUCGGACGCAGUUAAUUUUAUAAUGACGUGUUCGGCACCUUACG